This 254-nucleotide ribosomal RNA is filed under the name uncultured bacterium. RNAcentral's name for it is "partial 16S ribosomal RNA". It matches the Rfam family "Bacterial small subunit ribosomal RNA", at positions 524 to 776 of the family's 1533-position model. The record is from RNAcentral.
UACGUAGGUGGCGAGCGUUAUCCGGAUUUAUUGGGUUUAAAGGGUGCGUAGGCGGCUUAAUAAGUCGGUGGUUAAAAGUAGCAGCUUAACUGUUUUACAUGCCAUCGAUACUGUUGAGCUUGAGAUAUUUGGAGGCAGCUAGAAUUUCCGGUGUAGCGGUGAAAUGCUUAGAUACCGGAAGGAAUACCAAUUGCGAAGGCAGGUUGCUACGAAUAAACUGACGCUGAUGCACGAAAGCGUGGGGAUCAAACAGG